ACUCCGAACAGUCUAAUACACACAAUUCACUGGGUCAUCAGUGCACUCGAAGUUAUGCUUGUGUCAUAUGAAAGCAUUUCAUCUCAGUAGUACAGCACACCUAAGCAGGUCUUACCAACACAAGAUCCAGCGCCAGAGCGCUGAAACAUGGCUGUUCUUCAGGUCAACUCGCACCUCCGUCAAGGUGGGGGAGCACCUUGCUACCGAAUUUGUCAGCCACAUUUCAGGCGCUCAAAGCUCAGAAAACGCAAACUAUGAAGAAGAUGAGCCAAAACGUCGACCCAAGAGAGUGUGGACAGAUGAGCAGAGACGAGCAGUUGGCGAGAAAAUGAAGAAGUACUGGGAAGAACGGAAGAAAAAGAAACACCAUAAGUCUUAAGUUGUAUGCGGUCCAUAGCUGGCCAAAUUCAUAAAAAAAUUAUAGUUACACCAGCUUCUUUGCCACACUAUUGGUAGCUCGAUUGGUAGAGGGGUGAAUUGUAGAGUACAAAAACAUGAUGUCUCUAGGUUGCUGGUUCGAAUAUAGCGUGCAACUAUCUUUUAACUUAUUUAGAAAAGAAAUCGACAGUCCUUUCAUAUGAAAACCAAAUUGCAACUGAGCCAUGCGCAGCUCGCGGUCAUGCCGUUUAUUGCUUGUCAUCCUGUUUUUGUGGUUCUGUCGCCUCGUUUUUUUCUUUCAAUUCGAUUUACUGGUUGGUUUGCUUGCCCGUGAGUGGCAGCAGCAGCGCUUAUCGAUAAGUGCAUUGUCGUACAAUCUCUAGAGCACCUGCCAGGUUAGCCGAGAGCUCUGCUGGGCUGCUUCCUGGACUCGGGGCCCCCCGGAUUAACGACGAGGGCCGGUGUGCCGCCCAGCCAUGGAUGUGGUUUUUAGGCGGUUUUCCACAUCCCUCUAGAUGAAUACCGGGCUAGUCUCCACGUCCUGCCUAAGUUACAUGUUUCACAGACAUUUGAAACACAUCCAUACUUUUCCAUAGUUUACACUAGACGCAGACAGAUGGGGUCCUCUGAUUCCGUCCCGGGGGAUAUGGGGUGGUGGCAGGAAGGGCAUCCGGUCACCCCUUCAAAUUAACAUGCCAAAUCCGAUUUAAUCACGCCAACCCCGCGCAAAAUGCGGGACACAGGCACAAGCGAUAGUACAGUCUCUAGAGUGACCGCUAGUAUUUCCAGGUCGUCGUCUGUGAGAGUUGGUCCGGGCGCAGCAGCGGUGAAGUCGGGGACGGAGCACCAGUGAGGUGCGAACAGCCAGUGCUCGCCGACCUCUGGCGACACACAUGAACUGUCCGACGGAAGGAGAUUGGAGCGGGACGACACUUGGUCGGUCGUUCGGUUGGUCGUCUCAUCGUCCGACGUCUAUUUGGUCUUUUGAGCGUUUCUGGGCCUCGUCAGUUGGUCAUCUUGCUGGAGGUGGGUCGAUUACUUCCUUGCGCACAGGUCUCAUGGCCAAUGGGCAAGAGUUACCUCUACAUGGUUGGGUCCGAGCUAGUGUGCCCGGCUCGCCGUGUCUCCGAGCUUCGAACGGAGCUUGUAGUUGAGUCAGGUUGGAGCUGUAGUCAGCUUCUGAAGGCCAAGGCUCGCCCGACCGUCGCCGACAUGGCACUUGAGUGGGAAUGACCUGGAUUGGUCGUGUCAUCGGAUGACGUGUAUUUGGUCGCCGACCGCUUGUGGAAACUCUGUGUGUGUCGAAUUGAUUCGUCCUUGUUGUUCCACAGUGAUUGCUUUUACGACUGUUCGAGUUCUUGUGCAAGAGUGUUUACGUCGAACUGUGUGUAGCUUCUGUGAAUUCCACCGAGCACAUGAAUUCUGCCUGCGUACUGGAAUAGGCAGUUGGUCGAUUGCGAUAGAGGGAAUUGAUUAGGUUGUUGGUUCUUCAGCCGUCCCUAGGUCGUGUUGCAACCCGGUUGUUUAGUGUUACACUUGGCUGUCUUUCUCACCUACACUGUGCUUAGAGUUUCCUCCCCAGGCUGACUCUUGGAGCACUUCUGAGCACCACUUUGUUGUUUGUGAUUGUCAUUUUAUUUGGUCGCAGGUACUGUGUCAGGCCUUCAGCCGUGUAUAAAUAUUGUCUGUUUUAUGUUUAGUAUAUGCCUUUCAGGCGAAAUUUAUGACAACUAUUUCAAGAUUAGGCCUUCAGCCGUGUUUUAUUUAAAAUUCUUGUUGCUCUGUUUUAAGGCCUUCAGCCGCGUUUGUUCAAAUGAUUGAAAUGGCUCUGAGCACUAUGGGACUUAACAUCUGAGGACAUCAGUCACCUAGAACUUAGAACUACUUAAACCUAACUAACCUAAGGACAUCACACACACCCAUGCCCGAGACAGGAAUCGAACCUGCGACCGUAAGGUCGCGCGGUUCCAGACUGAAGCGCCUAGAACCGCUCGGCCACACUGGCCGGCGCCGCGUUUGUUUCAGAAUUUGUGACUUAAAUAUGUAAAUCCUUGUCUGUAAGGUUUCUCCUAAAUUAUCUUGAAUUCUUGAAAUGGUCUUCAGUCGUGUUCUGUAAAUGUUUAUCUUAAGGUAGUCUUUGAUUAUUCUAGAGUAAUUGUUUGGGCCUUCAGCCGACAAGAUACUUCAAGUUCUAUUAAGAUAUUUUUCUGUUGUACUGUGUAAAACCUUAUUUUUAAAGCCUCUCUUUUACUAUGCAAACUUUUUUUAUUAGGCUUACAGCCGAAGAAUUAAUUUGAAUUUUCCUUAAUAUGGCCUUACCCGAAAUUUGCAAAUGCCUGGCUUUUAAAGAAGUUCCUUAGCCGAUCUGAAAUAGUAUUUCAGCCUUCAGCCGAGAAUAUAUUCUAAUUUUACUUGAGUAAGGCCUUCAGUCGUUACUCUAAAUCCUGCUGCAUUAAAAUUAAUCAUUUAGACUUAUUCUGCAGAAUAUACUUGGGCCCUCGGCCGCGAAUUGAUCUUUGUGGUUUUAGAGAGAAAACUGUCCAUUGGUUUGAGGAAUAAAGUUGUGUGUGUUAUUGUAUAACAGUAAUUGACCGUGACCCCUUUCAAUAACCUGAUCCGUUCUGUCCUGU
Schistocerca gregaria is the source of this 3008-nucleotide RNA transcript. RefSeq lists it as uncharacterized. The record is from RefSeq and is a predicted model, not a curated record. The transcript has 3 exons. Lineage: Eukaryota; Metazoa; Arthropoda; Insecta; Orthoptera; Acrididae.